GUAGGGUGCAUUUCCUUCAAAUGAACAUUCCAGUUUACUUACUGAAUUGCUUUCUUUGUGAUCAGAAAUAACUAUUUCCAAUGGUAUUGAGCGAAGCAAGAACCAGACUCAUACACUUUUUGUGUUAAGAGGCGCAAUGGCAUAAAAAGAGAAUCAGGAACUUCAGAAGUAAAUACUUUACCAUUUAUAAGGUAACAGGAACAGGCAUGAGCAUUCUCAUUUGUAGACGACGAGAAGAGGACCUGGAGUUUAAGCCACUUUCAAGACCACGCUACUCCUUAGGGGCAGAACCAGGAAUUCAAGCCAGAUCAUCUCAUUCCCAGACUGCUAGAAUUCGUGCUGAUAAGCAACCUGGAGGGAAGCAAACGUGGAUGAGAACAGAGGAGGGGAAGAGGGGAAUCAGCAAGACAGGAUAAAGCGGAGAAUUCCUAGAACCUUUUUCAGAUAACAGAGAAUUCUCCACUGCCCAGAGACCUGCAUGAAAAGAAGUUCUUCCGGUUGAAGGGAAAUGCUACCAGACGUAAAGUCAAAUCUACGUAAAGAAAUGACGUACACCAAAAAUGAUGAUCCGUGGAUUCAAACCAGGCAAGACAAGUAGACUCUGUCCAGAGACUAAGAGCAGUUUUCAAAUCCCAGAGGAUGAACAGCAAGGCAAGAACCCAUAAAGACCUCCUUGGA
Molecule: long non-coding RNA, 678 nt
Filed under: Equus caballus (horse)
Lineage: Eukaryota; Metazoa; Chordata; Mammalia; Perissodactyla; Equidae
Description: lncRNA (ENSECAG00000037447.3)
Source: RNAcentral